RNAcentral lists this unclassified non-coding RNA (240 nucleotides) under soil metagenome. Its description in RNAcentral is "partial contains 5.8S ribosomal RNA, internal transcribed spacer 2, and large subunit ribosomal RNA". The record is from RNAcentral.
AACAAGGCGUACCUGCGGACCUGCGGAAGGAUCAUUACCGAGUGUGAACCCCCCCGUAAAAAAGAGGGGUUACCUCCCGUCCUUUGCUGGGAACCCCUUUCCAACUUGGAAGGAGGUUGUUUUCAGACCCUUCUGCUUCGGUGGGGUAACCCACCGGAACAACCUCAAAAAUAUUCUCAAUUCAAAACCGUUCAGUCCGAGAACUUUUUUGAAAAGCGAAAAAACUUUUAACAAUGGAUC